AGAUUUCAUUGAUAAGAAUGGGAAGAGAGCUUUCCCUUUACAGAAUCCAUGACGGGCUUCCAAAAACAAAGAACAACAAGAAUAUUGGUUAGUAUGCCCAUGCCAAGCAGGGUAUACUUUCCCAAUACACCCAUUCACAGUCAUGGAUCAAAAAACUAAAAACCAGAACCUAUCAGAAUUCACACAAAAUACACAAGAUAUUCCUACUCAAACCAGUACUAGGGAGGCUAGAAAUAUGAUUCAGGAACUAGAACAAAUUUGAUACUUUAAGCCAUUAAACCAACCAUCAUAAAGCUUCCUCUUAUGAGGCCACAAAUCCUCAUUGCAGUGGAAAGAAAAGUCAGCCUCAUCCAGGCCCCACCUCACGGUCAGUAGCACAUCUCACCCCCAGAAACGUCCACUAAUUCUUCACCGAUGAGAAGCACAGGGAGACCCCUACCCGGAAGGAGAACCAAAACUUACCGGAGUUGGUAUAUUUCGACAAGGUCAAUUUCUCUGCCCACUCCGUCCUUAGCAAGGAGAUCAGCUUCCUUAUUUCCUUCCCUCAGCGUAUGUCUUA
This 559-nucleotide long non-coding RNA is filed under the name Theobroma cacao (cacao). Its description in RNAcentral is "long non-coding RNA (TCAC_LNC000713)". Lineage: Eukaryota; Viridiplantae; Streptophyta; Magnoliopsida; Malvales; Malvaceae. The record is from RNAcentral.